ACGCUCGACACCUACGGGAGGCAGCAGUGGGGAAUAUUGCACAAUGGGGGAAACCCUGAUGCAGCGACGCCGCGUGGAGGAAGAAGGUCUUCGGAUUGUAAACUCCUGUUGUUGGGGAAAAAGNGGAUGGUACCCAACAAGGAAGUGACGGCUAACUACGUGCCGGCAGCCGCGGUAAUCUGAGCGGGCUGGCAAGGC
Molecule: ribosomal RNA, 198 nt
Filed under: uncultured bacterium
Lineage: Bacteria
Description: partial 16S ribosomal RNA
Rfam family: Bacterial small subunit ribosomal RNA
Source: RNAcentral